GCUACUGCAGCUUUGCUAGAGGAGAAUGCAGGAUACAUCAUUGAAUACAAGCAGUUCAUUUUGAGUAUGCAUCUCCUGUGGUGGCUGCUGCUCUAUCUCUGAAUGGCAGGGCUGGGGAGGCUGUCUAGGACAGGCGGCUGCUGAAGUGUCUGGCUAUAGCGGUGCUGGUCAAGCGGUGUCAAAGGUAACCAUCCCAUCCACACCUGUCACCUGCGUCUCUGUCAGAGUCUCCUGCACUCGUUACAAGGGAGAAAAUGGAUCUUCUUCCGCUGGUAGCUUGCGCAGA
Anguilla anguilla (European eel) is the source of this 286-nucleotide long non-coding RNA. RefSeq lists it as uncharacterized. The record is from RefSeq and is a predicted model, not a curated record. The transcript is spliced from 3 exons. NCBI's taxonomy places the organism in Eukaryota, Metazoa, Chordata, Actinopteri, Anguilliformes, Anguillidae.